This 559-nucleotide ribosomal RNA is filed under the name uncultured bacterium. RNAcentral's name for it is "bacterial SSU rRNA". It matches the Rfam family "Bacterial small subunit ribosomal RNA", at positions 94 to 630 of the family's 1533-position model. The record is from RNAcentral.
ACCGGCGCACGGGUGCGUAACACGUGGAUAACCUACCUCGAUGACUGGGAUAACUGGCCGAAAGGCUUGCUAAUACCAGAUAAGCCCCCGACCUCUUUGGAGGAAGAGGGAAAAGGCGGCCUCUGUAAACAAGCUGUCACAUCGAGAUGGGUCCGCGGCCCAUCAGCUAGUUGGCGGGGUAAUGGCCCACCAAGGCAACGACGGGUAGCUGGUCUGAGAGGAUGAUCAGCCACACUGGAACUGAGACACGGUCCAGACUCCUACGGGAGGCAGCAGUGGGGAAUCUUGCGCAAUGGGCGAAAGCCUGACGCAGCAACGCCGCGUGUGUGAUGAAGGUCUUCGGAUCGUAAAGCACUGUCGGGAGGGAAGAUACGCUUCUCAAUAACAAGGUGAGGCUAAGACGGUACCUCCAGAGGAAGCACCGGCUAACUCUGUGCCAGCAGCCGCGGUAAUACAGAGGGUGCGAGCGUUGUUCGGAAUUAUUGGGCGUAAGGCGCUUGUAGGCGGCUUGUUAAGUCGCGUGUGAAAUCCCCAGGCUUAACCUGGGAAGUGCGCGCGA